RNAcentral lists this ribosomal RNA (483 nucleotides) under uncultured bacterium. RNAcentral describes it as "partial 16S ribosomal RNA". It matches the Rfam family "Bacterial small subunit ribosomal RNA", at positions 355 to 829 of the family's 1533-position model. The record is from RNAcentral.
UGGGGAAUUUUGGACAAUGGGCGAAAGCCUGAUCCAGCAAUGCCGCGUGUGUGAAGAAGGCCUUCGGGUUGUAAAGCACUUUUGUCCGGAAAGAAAUCCUUGGCUCUAAUACAGUCGGGGGAUGACGGUACCGGAAGAAUAAGCACCGGCUAACUACGUGCCCGCAGCCGCGGUAAUACGUAGGGUGCAAGCGUUAAUCGGAAUUACUGGGCGUAAAGCGUGCGCAGGCGGUUUGCUAAGACCGAUGUGAAAUCCCCGGGCUCAACCUGGGAACUGCAUUUGGUGACUGGCAGGCUAGAGUAUGGCAGAGGGGGGUAGAAUUCCACGUGUAGCAGUGAAAUGCGUAGAGAUGUGGAGGAAUACCGAUGGCGAAGGCAGCCCCCUGGGCCAAUACUGACGCUCAUGCACGAAAGCGUGGGGAGCAAACAGGAUUAGAUACCCUGGUAGUCCACGCCCUAAACGAUGUCAACUAGUUGUUGGGGA